GCCGGAGUGGUGAAACUGGUAGACACGCACGUUUCAGGGGCGUGUGGGAGUGAUCCCAUGAGAGUUCAAAUCUCUCCUCCGGCACCA
This 87-nucleotide transfer RNA is filed under the name Omnitrophica WOR_2 bacterium GWA2_53_43. RNAcentral describes it as "tRNA-Leu". It matches the Rfam family "tRNA". From Rfam's summary of the family: Transfer RNA (tRNA) molecules are approximately 80 nucleotides in length. Their secondary structure includes four short double-helical elements and three loops (D, anti-codon, and T loops). RNAcentral also lists the same sequence under 1 other name. Lineage: Bacteria; Pseudomonadati; Candidatus Omnitrophota. The record is from RNAcentral.